UUGUGUCCAUACAUCUAGUUGUUUUCAAUACAUCUCUCUCCCUCUCCCUCUCACCGCUGACCUUCUCCUCCGACUGCUCCGUCGUCGUUUCAUCAUGACUCAUAUCCUUCCAUAUUUCUGCAAUUCUCUGAUUCCUGUUCAGAAAUUUGUCGAUUUUUGUUUAUUGUGAAUUAUUAGUCCGCUAAUUGCUAACCCUAAUCGUUUUAAUUAAUUUAUCUCCUUUUUUGUUAUUAAAUUUUGCUGUUCUUUUUUUCGUUAACUGAAUUUCACGAGGAAAUCAAAGAGAAAAGGACCGAGAAAGGGCUCAAGCUCGCAAUGGCAAAGGCAAGACUAAAGACGAUGGUUUGACCCCUGAGCAGCGUCGCGAAAGAGAUGCAAAGGCUCUUCAGGAGAAGGCCGCGAAGAAGGCAGCUCAGGCAGCAGGGAGUAGUGAUGCUGGAGGUAAGAGCA
Salvia splendens (bonfire salvia) is the source of this 450-nucleotide long non-coding RNA. RefSeq lists it as uncharacterized. The transcript is spliced from 2 exons. Lineage: Eukaryota; Viridiplantae; Streptophyta; Magnoliopsida; Lamiales; Lamiaceae. The record is from RefSeq and is a predicted model, not a curated record.